UUUUUUUUUUUUUUUUGGUAAGAGUGAAACUAAUUCGGAAGAAAUUUUAUGCAAUGGGGCAAAAAAUGUAAGCGUAUGCAUUCGUAUGGUUAAUUAGAUACAAGGGUGUAAUUUAAGUAUUUUAACAAGUGCCCCAAUAGGUAUAUAGAAAUAGUUGUAAGCCAUAAAUUAGAUUUUUUGAUGUUAAGAUAACUUCUUCUUUGGUUUUUUUUAGCAAUAAAUGGUAAAUAUAUCGUUUUGACAUGUUAACCAAGUUUUAUAUUAACAAAAAGGAAUAGGAAGUGGGGUUUGAAUAAUUGGAUAAUAUCAUAAAACUCUCCCAAUGUUUUUGACAGUAUCCUUAGCACUAUUGAAAUUAUAAAGAUAUCAUUUACCUCUUUUAUUUUCACAUUUUUUAUAACAUGUUAAUUCCAAUUCAAAAGAUAUUAUUAGAAUACUCAUUUUGGGAAUGAGACAAUGGUUUAUUUCCAACAUUACCCUUUUGUUGCCUUACUAUUUUACAAAAAUUAUAAGUAUAUUAAUGGAAAACUAGAAACAAUGACAAAAGGCAUAAAAUGUAGUGCUGGGACAAAAUAUGCAUGCUUUUUAAAGGUACAAACAUAUACUAAAAGCUUGUUUAAGAUUUUUUUAAACUAUGUAAGUUUUUUUCUUUAGGAUUUAUCUAUUUUGUACUCUAAGUUCACAUAAAAUCAAGAAUGGACCGAUGUUAUUUUAUUGAAAUAAUUUCAAAAAUCUCUCUUGAGAUUUCUAACAAUCUCACUUGCCUCCCUUAUUUGAAAUUUUUUUUGUACCAUGUCAGUCCAAGUAGGAAAAAAUUAGAAUAAAAAAGCACUUUCAGGAGACAGAAUGGAAUUUUGUACCGCAAAUGCCCUUUGCACUUCUUGGAGUAAUUCAUUUCAAAAAAUUUUAUGUUAAUUAAAAUUGAGAAUGCAAAAAAGCAAAAGACUACAGAUGUUAUGAGGGUAAACUACCUAGAGAACCCUUAAACUAUUUCAAUUAUUUUAAAUUGGUCCCUAAUCUAUUUCAAAUCUCAAAUUGACCCAUUUACAAUACAAAGCGUCAAAUUUUGAUCCUUCAUUCCAUCUCUGUCGCUAAAGCUGAUGGAUCUAAGGCUAAAAUUGGACUGAUCCAACGGUGAAAAUAAAUUGAAGGAUUAAAAAUUAACACUCUUUACUGUUGAGGAGCCAAUUUGAGAGUUAAAAUAGAUGAGGACUAAUCUCAAACAAUUGAGAUAGUUAUAGGUUUCGUGGGUAGUUUACUCUAAAGUGAAAUUGAAGACAUUUCUAGAAAUUACAGCAGCACUAUUAAGAUGACUAGAAGCUUUAAGACUAAAGUUUCAUGCUAAUUUAACAGAAUAAAAGCACUAGAAAUAGAGAAUUUGAAAGACAGAUUUCUUAUGGAGAUUCAAUAGCUAUUUCCCGCAGCUGCUAUUCAAUAGCUUUUAUGGAGAUUCAAUAACUUUUGAUGCUCCCACUACUCCUUGCUUUUCUCUUUUGUCUGUUUUGGAUUUGGAUGUUUAUCUAUUAAGGGAGCUGCCAUUGUACUCUUAACCCAUCAAUGAAUAAUUAAGCCUAUCUUUAAAAAAAAAAAAAGCUAUUUCCCGCAUGAUUUGAAGCGAUAUAACACCCGUAUCAACCAUUUUGAGUCAAUCUUGAUAAGUGAAUAUUUAACGUAUAUUUUGUACAAGUUUGGCAUGAACUUUUGGUAUGUUUUCAGAAGAUUAAAGCCAUAUUUGAACUCUUUUGGUGAUAAUUGCUUAAAUAUUGUUUAAGUGUUCUAAACUUGAUAAAUGAGUGGAUUAAUGCGUUAAUUUUGUGAAAUUGUGAAGGAUAUCGAUUUAUGAAAUUCAUGCACAAGAUGAAGGGAAUGUAAGGAUCGUCCAGAGGAUAAAGUACAAAAGAAAUUAGGAGCAAAAAUGAAGGAACAUACAAAGAAGUGAAAAACUGAAAAUUUAAUGGCACGGAUCCGUGAGAGCAAAGAGGGAUCCGAUCCCUCGUCUGUACUUCUAGAGGAGUAUAUCCGAGAUCAAAGGAUCCGACCUAGGAUCCAUCAUGGAAAGACCUCGGAUCCUUAAGAUCCGAGCUCGGAUCCGUUUUCACCCCUCGGAUCCAAGGCUCGGAUCUAUCUCUCUCUUCAGCAAGUGGCAAAGCCGUUUUUCUUUACCUUUCUCACAACUUUUCCAGCUAUUUUGAGGGAUAGAAAUCGGUGGCACAUGCUUCUGCAACAAAAGAGAAGACCAAAUGAGUGUGGACAAAAGGAAACAUCAUAUCUUUGACUUCUUUUUACAAAAUCUGAGUGGAGGAAAUUAUGAAGUGAGAGGAAUGGACUUUCUACCACCUUUUAUGCAGAAACACAGGGGAGAAGUCAGGACAUAACAUACGUAGCUAGUUUUCCUUUUUGUAACUAAUUUUCUCUCUAGCUAAGAGUUCUUGGAGAAGUAUUUGGAAUUUUCACUUGUAAUCAUAUUGUGCAAGAGCAUAGCAGGAAUUUGAGGGCUUCACCAUCAAUUGGCUAAGCUUUCUUUUAUCUUUCUUGUACUUGUACUUCAUGAUGUUUUGCAUUAAUAAACUUGUGAGUUUGAUUGUUAAAUCAUUCAUGAGUAACUAAACUCCAUAAUCUAGGGAGUAGAUGAAACUUAUGGCUAAAUAAUAUGAAUUGAAUGUGAUUUACACUUGUUAUAUCUUGUAUUAACUUGUUUACUUGUGUAGCUGUGAUUACUUGUUAUUGAUUGAUCACCAAUAGCAUAUUUAUAGUUGUUAUUGUUCAAUGAAAAAUGGUAGUAGCAAUGGAAAAACAUGAGUAGAGCUUAAGUUGUAUGUUCAUGAAAAUAGAAAUACACUUAAGUGGAUUACUUAGCAUUUCAUGAAAGAAAACAGAGGAGUAUUAGUAUUUCACUAUGAAAAUAGGAAAAACUAAACUACUCUAGGCCAUUUCAUCAUGAGAAUGAGACUUGGUAAUUUUGGAAAUGAAUCUGGUGAAACAAGAAUAAUUACAAGAGGUAAAUCCAUUCAUUUGUGUUGUUUAUGCCAUAAGUGGAAUCUACAUCCCUAGAGUCUUUCUCGAGUGAAAUUUCUCCAUUUGAAUUUAGCAUUUGUUAAACUAGAUUUGUGUAUCAGAUUUGUAGACUAUAGCAAUAUACUUUCUCUGCUCAAAUUUAUUGUAAGUCUAAAUAAUAGAGAAAAGUAAGGGUCUAGUACUUGUUUAAAUUGCUCCUCAUGGGAUCGACCCGAUACAUACCCUACAUUACAGUUUCAGCCUGUAUACUUGCAGCUAACGGGUAUAAAAAUUGGAUUUAAACUUGUAUUGAUAUAAAAAUUCCGUCAAAUUUUUGGCGUCAUUGCCGGGGAGCGGCAAUAUUAGAGCCUAAUCAUCCUUAUUAAUUUAGACAGCCUUAUUUUUUAUUAGUUGAGCUGAUUAUAUUUAAUCCUACAUUGUAAUCAAAUUUUGACAAUUGAAGUUGCAUAAUAUCUCUUAUUCCUAUUUGUAGUGUAUGCACCGGGCAUCUCGAGAAAUUGUACUUUUCGAUCUAGAAAUUGAGAGGACACUACAUAGACAAAGAAGGAACACACCACAGCAAGAGGAACAAGAAAUUUGGCUACCAAUAGAGGAAAUCUUAAUAGAGUUUCCAUUUGAAGAAGAAAUGGCAGAAAAUGAAGCAAAUAGGCGAGUUCUACGAGAUUUUGCUCUACCGGGAACACAAGGAUCUCAAACGAGCAUAACAAGGCCUUCGAUAAAUGCUAACAAUUUUGAAAUUAAACCAUCACUUAUUCAAAUGAUUCAACAAUCUCAAUUUGGAGGUAAUGCAGUAGAAGAUCCUAAUACACACUUAGCUACAUUCUUGAAAAUUUAUGAUACAAUUAAAAUGAAUGGAGUUAGUGAUGAUGCUAUAAGGCUAAGAUUGUUCCCAUUUUCAUUGAGAGAUAAGGCCAAACUUUGGCUACACUCUCAUGCUCCUAAUACUUUUACCGGAUGGGAUGAUUUAUCAAGAGCAUUCUUAAAUAAAUAUUUUUCACCAGGUAAGACUGCUAAACUUAGAAUGGAUAUCACUAGUUUUAGCCAAUUGGAAGGUGAAUCAUUAUAUGAGGCAUGGGAAAGGUUUAGAAAUUUGCUUCGAAAAUGUCCACAUCAUGGACUGCCAGAGUGGUUAAUCAUACAAACCUUCUAUAAUGAUUUAGUUUUUUCUACUAAAACUAUGAUCGAUGCAGCUGCAGGUGGAGCUUUGAUGGGUAAAUCGCCCCAAGAAGUUUAGAAUUUGAUAAAAGAAAUGGCAGCAAAUAACUACUAAUGGGCCAAUAAGAGAGGUAAUACAAGACGUCACGCAAGUAUGAUAGAAAUGGACACUCUCAAUAUGCUGAGUGCUCAAAUGAAUAAUGUGAUGAAGUUGCUAAGUAGACAAAGUGGAGUUGGUCCAAGUUCAUCUAAUGCACAUGUAGCGUGUUGUUCUAUAUGUGGAGAUGAGCAUGAUACUAAUGAGUGUGUUAAUUCUGAGCAGGUACAAUUCGUCACUAAUUACAAUAGUAAUGCUCAAAACAACCCCUACUCGAUUACUUACAAUCCUGGGUGGAGAAAUCAUCAAACUUUGGAUGGAAGGACCAAGGAAAUCAACCAAGGCCAGCCAAUCCACCGGGAUUUCAAUCAAGACAACAACAAGCUGAAACCAAACCUGGUUGGGAGAUCGCUGUGGAAAAGCUUGCUAAGGUUACUUUGGAUAGAUUCAAGCGAGUUGAGGGGCGGCUGGAUCAAUUGGCUGGAAUGUAUAGAAAUUUGGAUGUUCAAAUUUGUCAAAUUGCCAAUGCGAUCAACAACAGAAACCCUAGUGAAUUUCCGAGUAAAAUCGAAAUGAAUCCGAGAGAGCAAGUCAAUGCUAUCACUCUUAAAAGUGGUAAAAUGGUUGAGGGACCUAACUCUAGUAAUUCAAGUGGUGAAAAGGAUAAGGAGCAAGCAUAUAGAGGAGUAAAACCAAGCCAAAAUGAUAAUGUAGUCAUUAAUAUUGAUGAACCUCCUCCUCAGUUAAAUUCUAAUGUGAUUCCUUUUCCUCACAGGUUGAAGAAAGAUGGACAGGAUCGGGAGUUUGAAAAGUUCUUCAGAAUGUUUAAACAAUUGUACAUUAACAUUCCUCUCAUUGAUGCUAUAACACAGAUUUCCUCUUAUGCGCGUUUCUUGAAAGAUAUCAUGUCAAGAAAGAGGAAAAUUGUAGAUAAUGAGAUGAUAGCAUUAACGGAAGAGUAUUGUGCAUUAAUUAAGAACAAACUCCCUCCUAAAUUAAAAGAUCCGGGAAGUUUUUCUAUUCCUUGCACUAUUGGUCAAUUGCAUUUUUCUAAUGCUUUAUGUGAUUUAGGUGCAAGUGUUUCACUUAUGCCAUUAUCGGUUGCCCGGAGGUUGGGACUUCAAGAGUUGAAAGCUACCAGUAUCACAUUGCAGUUGGCGGAUCGGUCAAUCACACAUCCAAUUGGUAUUUUGGAAAAUGUGCUCAUAAGGAUAAGAUAAUCUAUAAUACCUGUAGAUUUUGUUGUCUUAGAUAUUGAGGAAGAUGUGAGAAUGCCAAUUAUUCUGGGACGACCGUUUUUAGCCACUGCACGAACUAUUAUUGAUGUGGAAAAAGGUAAGCUUAUAUUACGGGUUAAUGGUGAGGAAUUGAAAUUCAAUUUGGAUAAUAAAUAAGGGAAUAUAGAGCCUAUUGCUUUUGUUUCUAAUAUGACAUGUGAUGAAAAGGUUAACCAAGAAAGGAACGAAGAAGUUAAAUUUAUAAAUGUUCUUGGUACUAACUUUUAUGGUGUAGGAGCAAGGGAAGAGAAGAUAAGGGUAGAAGUUGGCUUAACAAAUUCGCCAUUCCAUGAAAAAAGUGAAGAAAAAUUGAGCCAACUCGAAAAAGACAAGCAAAUUCCACUCCAAGGUGAAGUCGGGCCUUUAUAUGACAAGUCUAAUACUCCUCCUUGGCAUUUGAGGAAAUUGGACUAUGGAGAUCAAUGUAUGGCUCACCACAUGGUGGAUUGGCUCGAAAGUUUCGACCCAUGGAGACAAAAUCGCUCCCUAAUGUUCUAAAAUGAUUCAAUUGUUUUUUAGUCGAGCCAACGACGAUAAAUAAAAGCGCUUGUUGGGAGGCAACCCAAUAAUAAUAUUGUAUUUGUGUGUUUUUAUGUGUUUCUUACAUUUUGGUGUGAUUUAAUUGACUAAUUAAAUGUAUUUCACUUGUUUGUAGGAGGUAUAGGAAUCUUAACAUCCAUCUUGGAGGUGCAUUUGAAGAACAAGUGUAAAAAGGGAGGAUUCUUACCAAAAUUGUGCUUUAAGUGUUUAGAAUUACCAUUCAUAUAUGCAGUGUGCAUUUCAAGUAUAUUCAAGUGAGUUUUGUUGAUAACAUGUUUAUAAAUACUCAUGGACUCAUUUGAUAUGCAUUUAAUGCCCAAAGGUGCUAUUUUGGUGUACAAGUGUAAAAAUGAGCAAAGAACCUCACCCUUCGAUUUGUAAUAUAGAUGUGUUUGAUGUGAAUUGAGAGGUUGGAUAUUGUGUUUAUGGUAUAUUACAUGUGUGUGGAAGGUUGGAAUUGAUAAAAAUUGCUUCCAAUGUGUGUUUUGGAAUUGGACGGAAAAGGGAGAAAAAAAUUUUUGAAAAAUUGCAGUUUCUGCAAUUAGUGCAGAAAAAUACAGAUCCGAGCUCGGAUCCUAAGUACCCAAGGGAUCCGACGGCGGAUCCUUUGAUCCGGGCUCGGAUCCAACAAUUUCCAGAAAGAUCCGAGGGCUCGUCUAUGCUUCUGGCAGAGCGGAUCCGAGGGCUUCCAGAACCGAUCCGAGCUACGGAUAUAGCAGAACCGAAGCCUCAUUUCUGCAUUUUUUUUCAAAUUCUUCUUCCCUCUUCUCACCGAAACCCUAAUCCCUUCCUUCAAUCUUCCAUUUCAUCCAUAAAACAUCCAAUUUUUUACCAGAAAAACAUCUCCCAAGCUCUUUUGAGCAUAAACCCUCAGUUUUCUGAAAUCAAAAACAUCAAUUUGGUGAGUUCGAUCGUCAAAACUGAAUUUCGGGCAGCACCUGAUUUUUUCAAAUUUGGGGGUGAAUUUGGACUAGUUUUUUCCGCAUUUUUCAUCAUUAUCAUCCUCUAGCAUCUUCCUAUACAUCUGAGGUAACAAUUUGCAACUUUCUCAGAAAUUUUAUAUUUCCUAUUCUUGCAUUUUUCUAGUUUUUGGGCGUAUUCUAAUAAUUGGUUAUAUGUUGAAAUUCUUGUUAUAAAUGUGCUACAUUGUACUAGAAUACAUUGUUACUAACAUUUUUGUGCUUAGUAUAGGGAAAAUUGUGGAUUUGGUGAUAUUUUUGGUAUUUUUUAAAAAAAAUUUAUUGAGCUUGAGCAUUUUGAUAAUUUAAACUUGUGAUUUUUUGCUUUCAUUAGAUAUUUGAAUUUUUUCUGAGGAGUAUAAGUCACUUUUGUACCAAUUAAAAGUGAUAUGCGAUUAAUAAAGAACAUUCAAUCUUUUUGCUUGAAAUCUCUUAUCUCUUUGGGUUAAUUUGCAAUUGUUUUGGUAAAUUUAGAGCUCAUUCAUAUGCACUUUAUUAAGAAUGUGUAUAGCUAAUUGUGGUGUGAUUUGUGGAUAAAGUUAAGAAUAUAUUGGCAUGUACAUUCUUGAAAUAAUGGUUGAGGUUCAAAUGAUCGAACUCUUUGAUGAGAUUCUACCUAAAACUAUGCAUUUGAGUUUGAAAUGAGUUAAGUAGGAUCUUUGGUUGCUUUUUGGUACAUGUUGGCUGGGAGUUUAGCCCUUUUACAAGGGGAAAUUCUGCCGAAAUUUUCUUAAAUUCCUAUUUAACAUGUAUGAGCAAGUUUCUAUCGUUUCUAAUAAAUAUUCAUCUUGUUUAUAGGUACUAUGGCUCGUACAAGGAGGGCUCGUAUUUGUACUCCUACACCAUCGUCAAGUGAAGAACAUACACCUUCUUUGCAUGAGGAGUCACCUGAGGAAGAAUCUCCUUCGCCUGAGCCACCAUCUCGAUCUCGCCGGAAGACCGCAUCCACUAGCCAUGACGAGCCAUUUCCUGACUACAAUACCACUCGUUUCAACUCGCUCGAGAAUCAACAGUGGUACGAGGCCGGUUUGGACAAAGAAAUCAUCAUUGAAAAACAUUGGCACCAGAGGUAGAUGCAUACUACCACAUAUCCACGGCAUUCAAGCGACUCGGAUGGGAGACUAUACUAAAUUUGCCGAAGCAUUACUAUCCCAAUCUGGUCCGGGAGUUCUAUGCCAAUGUAGAAAACAAACAAAGUCACAAUGGCAACCUCAUCGUCUCCUGGGUUCGAGGAAAGAGAGUGGCUCUCAAUCGGGAUACAAUCGCCAAAUUCGUCAAACUCAAGGACGACGGGAAAAACGUGAAAUUGACCAAAGAGUUUAAGGCACGUGAUCCAUGGCAAGUGAGCGAAGCCGUAUCACGUCUUAAGGGUCAGCACCGGGAACGAGGAAGCUCGAAGGAACUCCUCGUUUAUGCCGAUUCAUUUGAGCCUAGGUACCACCUUAUCAUUUAUCUCUUUGCUUUUAAUGUGGUACCUAAGAGGAGUGGAAAAAGGGAAGUUCGAAAUAGCGACCUUUACUUUUUAGAUAAGAUGAUGAAUGGAAUAGGUCGGCAGCUGAUAGAAAUUCCUCUAGACAGCAUCAUUAUUAGCUAUAUGCGCACUACAGCCCGCAUGCGAGCCGGUGAGACUUGUUUUGGGUUUCCUCGUCUCCUCAUUCUUCUGUUUGAAAAGUUCAAGGUACCCUUGGGUGAGGAGAGAACCAUUACUACCAAAGCAGUUGAUGAGGUCAAUGUUUCAGUAUUACAGUCUUUGGGUAUCCCUACAGAUUUUGGAGUUUCUCUAGUUCGAGACACGGGAGAGGCUUCAACCUCAACUCAGCCUCCACCUCACACUCAACAGGAACUAGUAGUUCAUGAGAUAGAGGCACAACAGACUCUUUCUCCUCCCGUUCCGCGACCACCACCUCCGCCGCAAUCCAAGUGGCAAGAGCUCCCCAAUGCCAUCUGUUGUAUGGAGACUCGAGUCAUCCAGCGCAUUGACCAGACCGAGCGGAUGAUGACGGAGCGACUCGACAGACAUGAUCGCCGUCUUUGUGCGAUCGAGGACCAUUUCCAUAUCUGCCGAUCACCUACUCCGACGCCUCAGCAGGAGAAGGGACAUAUUGGUACAUCACAGGGUUCUCAAGGAACUGAGGAGGCAGUAGACCCUCGUUCCGAACAGCCAUGAAGAUCUUCAUUUUCAUUGAUUGCUUUAGUUUUCUUUUAUUGUGUUCGGUUUAAACUUUGUAGUUUUUAUAUUGAAUUUUCUUGUGCUACUUAUGUUUUUCGUAUCCUUUUGUUUCAUUGUGGACAGAAUUUGGAUGACCGUGAGGAUUAAUGGCUUCAAAUUGAAUCAUCACUUAUUUUGAGGAAAGUUUCAGUUUCUAUUACCUUCCCUACAAUGAGGAUAUUGUUCAAUUUAAGUGUGGGGGAGGGAUUAAUUUAUCUUAUGGAUGAUUGUGUCUUGAAAUGCAUGAUGUGAGUUGUCGAUGGCUUAAAAAUGUUGGAAUUAUAUUUGGAAAUAUUGUCUUGAGGGUAAUUUUCUUGAAAUUGAGGCUGUUGGCAGGGAGUUUUGUCCAAUUAUUUAGGGAAACUCUGUCAAAAUUUUUUCUAAAAUAUUUUCCAAUAUUUCAUUGCAAUUCUUUCAAAUAAUGGCCAAAAUGUUCAAAUUUGAGUGCCUAAUUCUUCCAUUGGAUAAAAUGUUAUAUGUAUUUUGGGAAAGUUUAGUCCUUAUUUGACAUGGAAUUAGUCAUUAUGCAAUUAGAAUUUUUACAUUUUAGAAAGUAUAUUCAGUUAAAUAAGAAAAAUUAUACUUAGAAUUUUGCAUGUUUAAUGAUAUUUCUCAUUUUUACUUAAUUUUAUAAGUAAGUGAUUGAUAUAGUCAAUACAAGGCCAGAUUCUUCCUUUAAUUAUGCUUAGAGGGAAAAGAAAAAAAUGAUUGUUUAAAAAAAUCAAAAAGAAAUUAAAAAUAAUAAUAAUAAUAUUUUCUACUCCAAUAAUUCGCAUACUGAGUAACCGGGGGUUAGCAUUUACAAAUGUCGACAUUCACGUCAAAAGGUAUUGGAAUUAAGAGUAUGCUUAGCAAUUUGAAUAAAUGAAAUGUUGAGUAAUCGGGAAUCUUCACCAAAAAGUGUUGAUUUUCGCGUAAAAAGACAUUUAUACUAUUUAAGUAAAAUGAAAUAUGAAUAAAUCCCUCUUAGUUAUGAAAAUUUUGAUGGUCAUGGGAUGAGGAAGGCCAUAGAAUUGACUAUGUGAUUUACUUAUUUGUAGAAUUAGGAUAGAAUGAGAGAUUGAGUUGAAUUUGUUAAAAUUAAGGCAUAAUUAUUUUUUUUAAUUGAAUAUUAUGAGUAUUUAGUGUAAUCUGAGAAAUGGCAUAAUGAUUGAUUUCUAGGUUUUUGAGGAAUUAAAUUUGACAAAAGUACGUAUAUUGUUUUAUCUAUUGAAUCAUUGAAGUAAGUUUUGUGUAAAUUGCUUGAGGACAAGUAAUGAUUCAAGUGUGGGGGAAUUUGAUAAGUGAAUAUUUAACGUAUAUUUUGUACAAGUUUGGCAUGAACUUUUGGUAUAUUUUGAGAAGAUUAAAGCCAUAUUUGAACUCUUUUGGUAAUAAUUGCUUAAAUAUUGUUUAAGUGUUUUAAACUUGAAAAUGAGUGGAUUAAUGCGUUAAUUUUGUGAAAUUGUGAAGGAUAUCGAUGUAUGAAAUUCAUGCACAAGAUGAAGGGAAUGUAAGGAUCGUCCAGAGGAUAAAAUACACAAGAAAUUAGGAGAAAAAAUAAAGGAAAAAGGAAAAAAGUGAAAAUUUGAAAAUUUAAUGGCACGGAUCCGAGCUCGGAUCCGUGAGAGCAAAGAGGGAUUCGAUCCCUCGUCUGUACUUCUUGAGGAGUGUAUCCAAGGUCAGAGGAUCCGACCUCGGAUUCGUUUUCACCCCUUGGAUCUGAGACUCGGAUCUGUCUCUCUCUUCAGCAAGUGGCACAACCAUUUUUCUUUACCUUUCUCACAACUUUUCUAGCUAUUUUGAGGGACAGAAAUCGGUGGCACAUGCUUCUGCAACAAAAAAGAAGACCAAAUGAGUGUGGACAAAAGGAAACAUCAUAUCUUUGACUUCUUUUUACAAAAUCUGAGUGGAGGAAAUUAUGAAGUGAGAGGAAUGGACUUUCUACCACCUUUUAUGCAGAAACACAGGGGAGAAGUCAGAACAUAACAUACGUAGCUAGUUUUCCUUCUUGUAACUAAUUUUCUCUCUAGCUAAGAGUUCUUGGAGAAGUAUUUGGAAUUUUCACUUGUAAUCAUAUUGUGCAAGAGCAUAGCAGGAAUUUGAGGGCUUCACCAUCAAUUGGCUAAGCUUUCUUUUAUCUUUCUUGUACUUGUACUUCAUGAUGUUUUGUAUUAAUAAACUUGUGAGUUUGAUUGUUAAAUCAUUCAUGAGUAACUAAACUCCAUAAUCUAUGGAGUAGAUGAAACUUAUGGCUAAAUAAUAUGAAUUGAAUGUGAUUUACACUUGUUAUAUCUUGUAUUAACUUGUUUACUUGUGUAGCUGUGAUUACUUGUUAUUGAUUGAUCACCAAUAGCAUGUUUAUAGUUGUUAUUGUUCAAUGAAAAUUGGUAGUAGCAAUGGAAAAACAUGAGUAGAGUUUAAGUUGUAUGUUCAUGAAAAUAGAGAUACACUUAAGUGGAUUACUUAGCAUUUCAUGAAAGAAAACAGAGGAGUAUUAGUAUUUCACUAUGAAAAUAGGGAAAACUAAACUACUCUAGGCCAUUUCAUCAUGAGAAUGAGACUUGGUAAUUUUGGAAAUGAAUCUUUGGUGAAACAAGAAUAAUUACAAGAGGUAAAUCCAUUCAUUUGUGUUGUUUAUGCCAUAAGUGGAAUCUACAUCCCUAGAGUCUUUCUCGAGUGAAAUUUCUCCAUUUGAAUUUAGCAUUUGUUAAACUAGAUUUGUGUAUCAGAUUUGUAGACUAUAGCAACAUACUUUCUCUGCUCAAAUUUAUUGUAAGUCUAAAUAAUAGAGAAAAGUAAGGGUCUAGUACUUGUUUAAAUUGCUCCUCAUGGGAUCGACCCGAUACAUACCCUACAUUACAGUUUCAGCCUGUAUACUUGCAGCUAACGGGUAUAAAAAUCGGAUUUAAACUUGCAUUGAUAUAAAUAUCCCGUCAAAUCUAAUCAUUGAUUACCAGAAAGGAAACCAAAAUAGGUUGGAAUUAAAAGAUCCAAUUUGAUGCAUAAUAGAUAAUGCAAUCUUGAAGUCAACACCAUAACCUACAUAUUUUAAUAUUGCAAUCCAAAGAUGCACAAAACGCCAUCUUACUCUGGUGUAGCGAGACUGUGAGGAUUGCAAAGUUCAAUAUAGUUCCCACUAACUUUCACAAAGACCAUGAGUGGCAGAAUAUUGGAAGUAAAGCCAUAGAGCUCCACUCAACAAAAGGCUACAUAUGCUAAAACCAUAGUGCUCUAUGAACCUCAAUACCAACCUUUUUUCCCAAUAAAAACAGAGUCAAAAACUAGUUUAAUCAGAAAAUAAGGAAGUUUUUGUGCAAUCAAUCAUCAUGUUGUCCUCAUUUAGGGAUAAUUUCAGGAAUCUCCCUUUGAGGUUUCUGAUAAUUACACAUAAAUAUUCUCCAAUAUCAAAAAUUACGUUGCCCUCCCCUUGAUUGACAUAUUUGAUAACAAAUUAAGUCCAUGUUAGAAAAAGUAAUCUUACAAGUAAUGAAUCGGUCAUGUCAAACAAUUAUAUUCUAAGUUUGCCCUCAUUGAACCUACAAGAAAAUGAGUUAAAAUUUUGGGCAAGAAAAUUGGCAAUAAAAAAAUGAAGAAAAAUUGGCACCAAGUUGAUCCACUUAGGACAUGAAAAUAACAUUAAACAAUCAGCAUUCUGGAUAGUAAAGUCCUACAAGAACAGUUGGAACUUCAACGGUACUUUGUGGACAAUAUAUAGCAAAAAAUGCUAGUGAAUGAGCAAAAAAUAGAGGACAAUUUCAUCAACUGAAUACAAAGGCAACUAGAGAAAUAAGUCUUCAUCAAACUAUCACUAGAGCUCAUUUCAUGCUGGCACAUCAUUAAGGAUAAAAAACUGAAAUUGUGGGUGUGGAUGCAAAACAACAAUUAAAAUUUUCAAAACCCAACAAAAAAAUCCUGACAAGUUAUAUUUUUGUUGUUCUAAGUAUGGCUAUUUUGAGUAGUUUGACGGCAAUGAAGCUAAAGAAGUGAGUAGUCGAAAAUGAGAAGAUCCAACACAAGUUCAAAAAUCAAAAAGCAUUGGCAGCAAUAUAUUGUCACCUAUCCAAAUGCUGAUAAUGAUCAACUUCAGUUUACUAACUAUAUUCAUUUUCAUUCAGAUUGUAAAGUCCAUUUGAAAUAUGGAUAAAAUUGUAAGAAUGUGUCACCAAAAGUUGAGCCUUGGUUGUUAUAUAGUGGAAGAACAAAAAGCCACAAAAUUGUGGAUUUAAAUUCAUCUACAAUAUUUAGUAGGAGUUUAUCUACCAUGCUUCAAAAUCAAAGAUUCCUACAAAGCAUUAUAAAAUAAAUAAAUUAAAACAAGUCUUAAUAUAAUAAAAAAUAAGGUCAUACACUUCAAGUUGACUGAAUACCCAUAAUAAGCAAUUCAAGGGAAAAAAACCAUCUCCACAAGGUCAUACACUUAAUGGUGCCAAAUUGCAUAUAAACAUAUUAUACUUGGAAGACGAUUCCCCAUAUUUCUAGUAUUUUAGGGAUUUUGUAAGGGUAUUUUAAUCACUUUAUUGCUAUUGAAUGUGACAUCUAGUUACAUCAAAGUGAAAGGGAGGUCAGUGUAAUAUUUAAUAUUGAAAGGUAUUUAUAUGUAAUCACAAACGUCCAUUCUCAUUUAUAAAGAACGUUACAAUUAAUUUAGUAGUCAAUUUAAGAGUCCUCAUAGAAACUCUCUUAUGACAACUCAAGUCCACGAAUACCCAUGUGACUUUGUCAUUCCUCCAAGAAUAAAGAAUUAAUACAAUCAAUUUUACUUAACCUUCAUGAAUUUUGACCUUUCUUUGAAAUUUGAACCUAGUCAAGUAUAGAGAGUUUGAGAGAAUUCUUGAACUCAAAAAAUCAAUGUCCGGAUGAAUAUCAUACAUGCCAUUACAAAAUCUGUGUAUGAACGCCAACUGAGUAGCCACUUAAAAAAUAGUAAGAUGAGAAUAAGCAUGCUACUACUCAGAACUACUACAAAACCAACUAGACACGGUUGAGGACAAUCAAUAUUAACCAAAACCAAAGGGAUCCAAAUGAGCUUUGCUAAAACAGAUCAACAUCUCAAAAAUCUUUGGUGUCAGUUCCCAUCCAAUAUUCAACAAUUCCUUAAUAAAUUCUCAAACAUCCGAGAACAUGUUCAAUGGGAAAAUAGCAAGCGUUAUCUAGUAUCACAAUCUGGUGAGUCAAGCCUUAAGUAGCAGGUUUUAUGAGAACUUUAAUGAACAUUCUUAACAAUUCACUGUUGAACAGAGAUAUUUGGUCAGUUUAUGCAGAAAAACCUUACUUUUGCAUUCUUUUGACAAAUAUUAUUAUUUGCUGCACGGGAACAGAUAAUUAGAUCAGAUGUUUCAAAUGGAAGGCAAAAGGAGAAAAUGGAUUAGUAAUAUUAGAAAGAAAAUGGAGAUAUGAAGAGCAAUAAUGAUUCUCUCCGACCAAUUCUCACAAGCCUUAAAGACACUAUUUUGCAGCUCUAAUUCUUUAUCAUACAAUUUAUGUAACCCAUACACGAAUAUCCUGUGAACUGUCAUGCUUAUGAAUUUCAUGACUGCAAUACUGUCAAUGCUGC
Molecule: long non-coding RNA, 14788 nt
Filed under: Coffea arabica (coffee)
Lineage: Eukaryota; Viridiplantae; Streptophyta; Magnoliopsida; Gentianales; Rubiaceae
Description: long non-coding RNA (CARA_LNC003809)
Source: RNAcentral